GGCGGGUCUCCCCGCAUGGCUACGCCGUGAACCUGGUCAGGUCCGGAAGGAAGCAGCCACAGCGGAAGAUGCCAGUGCCGGGGGUCGGGCUCGCCACC
This 98-nucleotide signal recognition particle RNA is filed under the name Parasulfuritortus cantonensis. RNAcentral's name for it is "Bacterial small signal recognition particle RNA". It matches the Rfam family "Bacterial small signal recognition particle RNA". From Rfam's summary of the family: The signal recognition particle (SRP) is a universally conserved ribonucleoprotein involved in the co-translational targeting of proteins to membranes. Archaeal SRP consists of a 7S RNA and homologues of the eukaryotic SRP19 and SRP54 proteins. The record is from Rfam by way of RNAcentral. Lineage: Bacteria; Pseudomonadati; Pseudomonadota; Betaproteobacteria; Nitrosomonadales; Thiobacillaceae.